This 460-nucleotide ribosomal RNA is filed under the name uncultured Microcystis sp. RNAcentral's name for it is "bacterial SSU rRNA". It matches the Rfam family "Bacterial small subunit ribosomal RNA", at positions 40 to 535 of the family's 1533-position model. The record is from RNAcentral. Lineage: Bacteria; Bacillati; Cyanobacteriota; Cyanophyceae; Chroococcales; Microcystaceae.
GGGCCGGCCUUUACCAUGCCAAGUCGAAACGAGAAUCUUCGGAUUCUAGUGGCGGACGGGUGAGUACGCGUGACAAUAAGAACAAAGGAGGGGGAUAACGGUUGGAAACGACCGCUAAUAUCCCAAAUAACGAGAGGUGAAAUCUAAUUGGCCUGAGGAUGAGCUCGCGUCCGAUUAGCUAGUUGGUGGAGUAAGAGCCCCCCAAGGCGACGAUCGGUAGCUGGUCUGAGAGGAUGAUCAGCCACACUGGGACUGAGACACGGCCCAGACUCCUACGGGAGGCAGCAGUGGGGAAUUUUCCGCAAUGGGCGAAAGCCUGACGGAGCAAGACCGCGUGAGGGAAGAAGGUUUGUGGAUUGUAAACCUCUUUUGAUUGGGAAGAAGUUCUGACGGUUCCAAUCGAAUCAGCCUCGGCUAACUCCGUGCCAGCAGCCGCGGUAAUAAUCUAGAUGCUUUUUUU